Molecule: transfer RNA, 48 nt
Filed under: Ferocactus cylindraceus
Lineage: Eukaryota; Viridiplantae; Streptophyta; Magnoliopsida; Caryophyllales; Cactaceae
Also listed under: 4 other names
Description: partial tRNA-Phe
Rfam family: tRNA
About the family: Transfer RNA (tRNA) molecules are approximately 80 nucleotides in length. Their secondary structure includes four short double-helical elements and three loops (D, anti-codon, and T loops). Further hydrogen bonds mediate the characteristic L-shaped molecular structure. tRNAs have two regions of fundamental functional importance: the anti-codon, which is responsible for specific mRNA codon recognition, and the 3' end, to which the tRNAs corresponding amino acid is attached (by aminoacyl-tRNA synthetases). tRNAs cope with the degeneracy of the genetic code in two manners: having more than one tRNA (with a specific anti-codon) for a particular amino acid; and 'wobble' base-pairing, i.e. permitting non-standard base-pairing at the 3rd anti-codon position.
Source: RNAcentral
GCCGGGAUAGCUCAGCUGGUAGAGCAGAGGACUGAAAAUCCUCGUGUC